RNAcentral lists this ribosomal RNA (405 nucleotides) under uncultured eukaryote. RNAcentral describes it as "partial small subunit ribosomal RNA". It matches the Rfam family "Eukaryotic small subunit ribosomal RNA", at positions 30 to 432 of the family's 1831-position model. The record is from RNAcentral.
GCUUGUCUCAAAGAUUAAGCCAUGCAUGUCUAAGUAUAAACAUCUUUAUACUGUGAAACUGCGUACAGCUCAUUAUAUCAGCAAUUAUUUAUUUGAUGGUUAACUUACUACAUGGAUAACCGUGGUAAUUCUAGAGCUAAUACAUGCGUCAAGCCCCAACUAUUAUGGGAGGGGUGUAUUUAUUAGAUAAAAAACCAACCCCCGCAAGGGGUUCUUUGGUGAAUCAUAGUAACUGAUCGGAUCGCAUGACCUUGUGUCGGCGACAGUUCAUUCAAAUUUCUGCCCUAUCAGCUUUCGACGGUAGUGUAGUGGACUACCGUGGCGGUAACGGGUGACGGAGAAUUAGGGUUCGAUUCCGGAGAGGGAGCCUGAGAAACGGCUACCACAUCCAAGGAAGGCAGCAGG